UACGGAGGAUCCAAGCGUUGUCCGGAUUUAUUGGGUUUAAAGGGUGCGUAGGUGGAUAAUUAAGUCAGGGGUGAAAGCCUGCAGCUCAACUGUAGAACUGCCCUUGAAACUGAUUAUCUUGAAUGUGGUUGAGGUAGGCGGAAUGUGUCAUGUAGCGGUGAAAUGCUUAGAUAUGAUACAGAACACCAAUUGCGAAGGCAGCUUACUAAGCCAUUAUUGACACUGAGGCACGAAAGCAUGGGGAGCAAACAGG
RNAcentral lists this ribosomal RNA (253 nucleotides) under uncultured bacterium. RNAcentral describes it as "partial 16S ribosomal RNA". It matches the Rfam family "Bacterial small subunit ribosomal RNA", at positions 524 to 776 of the family's 1533-position model. The record is from RNAcentral.